AGUGAACGCUGGCGGCGUGCCUAAUACAUGCAAGUCGAACGGUGAAGUCCUAGCUUGCUAGGAUGGAUUAGUGGCGCACGGGUGAGUAAUAUAUAGUUAAUCUGCCCUACACAGAGGAACAACAGUUGGAAACGACUGCUAAUACCUCAUACUCCUAUUUGACAUAAGUUAAAUAGGGAAAGUCUUUUCGGUGUAGGAUGAGACUAUAUCGUAUCAGCUAGUUGGUAAGGUAAUGGCUUACCAAGGCUAUGACGCGUAACUGGUCUGAGAGGAUGAUCAGUCACAUUGGAACUGAGACACGGUACAAACUCCUACGGGAGGCAGCAGUAAGGAAUAUUGCGCAAUGGGGGAAACCCUGACGCAGCAACGCCGCGUGGAGGAGGACACUUUUCGGAGCGUAAACUCCGUUUAUCAGGAAAGAAUAAUGACGGUACCGGAUGAAUAAGCACCGGCUAACUCCGUG
Molecule: ribosomal RNA, 463 nt
Filed under: uncultured bacterium
Lineage: Bacteria
Description: partial 16S ribosomal RNA
Rfam family: Bacterial small subunit ribosomal RNA
Source: RNAcentral